This is a long non-coding RNA of Oncorhynchus tshawytscha (Chinook salmon), 1754 nucleotides long. The record is from Ensembl. Lineage: Eukaryota; Metazoa; Chordata; Actinopteri; Salmoniformes; Salmonidae.
CUCUCAAAGUGCUUGAUAGGAAGCUCCUGAGUUGGGAAAAUCUUGUGCAAUACACUGACGCAUGUCUGGUAUUCAAGAUCCUAAAUGGCCUGGCUCCCUCUCCACUUAGUACUUUGGUUUAAACAGAAAACCCAAACCAUGACAGCAGAUUCACAAGGUCUGCCAUGAGAGGUAACUGUAUAGUUCCCUUAAGGAAAAGCACCUUUAGUCAAUCUGCUUUCUCUGCUUCCCAUGUUUGGAACACACUGCCAUCAGACACACACAACUGCACUAUCUAUCACACCUUUACAAAACACAUAAAGACAUGGCUAAAGGCCAAUCAGACUUGUGAACAUAAUCCCUAGCUGUGUAUGCCCCAGUACAUCACUGGGGCCAAGCUUCCUGACAACCAGGACCAAUAUACUAGGCAGUGUCAGAGGAAGGCCCAAAUAAUUGUAAAGGACUCCAGUCACCCAAGUCAUAGACUGUUCUCUCUGCUUCCGCACGACAAGCGGUACCGGAGAGCCAAGUCAGGACCAAAAGGCUCCUUAACAGAGCCAAGUCAGGACCAAAAGGCUCCUUAACAGAGCCAAGUCAGGACCAAAAGGCUCCUUAACAGAGCCAAGUCAGGACCAAAAGGCUCCUUAACAGAGCCAAGUCAGGACCAAAAAGGCUCCUUAACAGAGCCAAGUCAGGACCAAAAAGGCUCCUUAACAGAGCCAAGUCAGGUCCAAAAGGCUCCUUAACAGAGCCAAGUCAGGUCCAAAAGGCUCCUUAACAGAGCCAAGUCAGGUCCAAAAUGCUCCUUAACAGAGCCAAGUCAGGACCAAAAGGCUCCCUAACAGAGCCAAGUCAGGUCCAAAAGGCUCCUUAACAGAGCCAAGUCAGGUCCAAAAUGCUCCUUAACAGCUUCUAACCCCCAGCCUGCUGAACAACUUAUCAAAUGGCCACCCAGACCAUUUACAUUGACACUGCUGCUACUCACUGUUUAUUUAUUCAUAGUCACUUUACAAAUGAUCUCGACUACCCUGUACCCCCGCACAUUGACUUGGUAACGGUACCCCCUGUAUAUACCCUCAUUAUUGUUAUGUACAUUUUCUUUUUUUUUGUUCAUUGAUUCAAUUUUUAUUUUACUUUAUUUUAUUUAGUAAAUAUUUUCAUAAUUCUAUUUCUUGAACUGCAUUGUUGGUUAGGGGCUUGUAAGUAAGCAUUUUGCGGUAAGGUCUACAACUACAACUUGUAGUCUUGUAGUCUACAACUACAACUUGUAUGUGAUUUGAUUUGUGUUGCCGCUUUCCAUGUCUGUAGCUUGUGAGGUGUGGAAACACUUGCUUUUAUAUAUUUUGAUUUGUUACUUUUUGUGUUAUGUUGCUCUGCCUGCGUGCUACAUUCUGCUUGCUCUAUGUUGCUCUGCAUGUGCUCACUGUUUGACUGUUUUGUUAUUGUAAUUGUUUUUAAUUACCUGCCCAGGGCCUGCGGUUGAAAAUGAGCCGGCUUGUUAAAAUGGCACUUUCACUGAAACGUUGAUUCAUGUGCACUGUCCCUGUAAAAAUCAACUCAAACUCAAGGUGACUAAGCUGUGAAGUUUGGCCUACCUGGCAGAUGAUCAUCUCCAUCGUAAGCUCGCCAGUCUUCUCUCUCUCUCUUCCUCUCAGGGGGAAACUAGUUAAACCAGAGUCUAUAAACUGUAGCGGUGGAGUUUGAGACGGGCCUCGUUUCUAGACUAAAAAAAGCAUGUGGUACGUUUUCACCAUGAUAAAGAAAUAUCAGAGAGA